RNAcentral lists this ribosomal RNA (492 nucleotides) under uncultured bacterium. Its description in RNAcentral is "partial 16S ribosomal RNA". It matches the Rfam family "Bacterial small subunit ribosomal RNA", at positions 29 to 507 of the family's 1533-position model. The record is from RNAcentral.
AGUGAACGCUGGCGGUAGGCCUAUCACAUGCAAGUCGAACGGCAGCACAGUAAGAGCUUGCUCUUACGGGUGGCGAGUGGCGGACGGGUGAGGAAUACAUCGGAAUCUACUUUUUCGUGGGGGAUAGCGUAGGGAAACUUACGCUAAUACCGCAUACGACCUACGGGUGAAAGCAGGGGAUCUUCGGACCUUGCGCGAUUGAAUGAGCCGAUGUCGGAUUAGCUAGUUGGCGGGGUAAAGGCCCACCAAGGCGACGAUCCGUAGCUGGUCUGAGAGGAUGAUCAGCCACACUGGAACUGAGACACGGUCCAGACUCCUACGGGAGGCAGCAGUGGGGAAUAUUGGACAAUGGGCGCAAGCCUGAUCCAGCCAUACCGCGUGGGUGAAGAAGGCCUUCGGGUUGUAAAGCCCUUUUGUUGGGAAAGAAAAGCAGCAGGUUAAUACCCCGCUGUUCUGACGGUACCCAAAGAAUAAGCACCGGCUAACUUCGUG